RNAcentral lists this transfer RNA (70 nucleotides) under Eucnemidae sp. 4 ACP-2013. Its description in RNAcentral is "tRNA-Trp". Lineage: Eukaryota; Metazoa; Arthropoda; Insecta; Coleoptera; Eucnemidae. The record is from RNAcentral.
CAAGGAUUUAAGUUAAUUAAACUUGUAACCUUCAAAGUUACCAAUAAAGAAAAAUAAAUCUUUGAACCUU